RNAcentral lists this ribosomal RNA (428 nucleotides) under Schendyla nemorensis. RNAcentral's name for it is "partial large subunit ribosomal RNA". It matches the Rfam family "Bacterial large subunit ribosomal RNA", at positions 1943 to 2600 of the family's 2925-position model. The record is from RNAcentral. Lineage: Eukaryota; Metazoa; Arthropoda; Chilopoda; Geophilomorpha; Schendylidae.
UGACCGUGCGAAGGUAGCAUAAUCAUUAGUCUUUUAAUUGAAGGCUGGUAUGAAGGGUUGAAUGAGGGAAAUGCUGUCUCUGCUGAGAGGUUGAAGUUCAAGAUUUUGUGAAGAAGCAAAAGUGAGCCUAUAAGACGAGAAGACCCUAUCAAGCUUUACAUUUAUUUUUAUUAUGGUAAAAUAAGAACGGAGUGUUUUGUUGGGGCGACAGGUAUAGAAAAACUUAUUGAAUUUAGGGAUAGUUUAAUUAGACAUUUUAUUUGACCCAGGAAUCUUGGGAAGCGGAGAAAGUUACUGUAGGGAUAACAGCGUAAUUAGAUCGGAGAGUUCUAAUUGAUGAUUUAGUUUGCGACCUCGAUGUUGAAUUAGAAUUCCUCUUCCUCGUAGGCGAGGGAAAAGGCAGUCUGUUCGACUGUUAAAAUUCUACA